GUUAAGUUAAUGAUCAAAUUCAUUUUUAUUAUUUACAUAAAAAAUUACAUCUAUAUGAGUUAUUGGUGCUUUAGCUCCCAAUCUGAUUUGGAUACAAAAUACCAAACUUAAAAAAUUCAAGUGUCCCAAUAAUAGAAAUAGCUGAAAUUGCCUUAAAUUCAAAUGUCUCAAUAAUAGAAAUAGUCGAAAUUGUCCCUGCAAUAAAAAAAUUCAGAACAAAAUUAGUAGUAAUGAAAGGAACAUUACCAUUAGUCAACAACAAUACUAUAACAUUUGAAAUUUUUUUCAGAUCACACCUAACAAGUGGACAACAUCCAAUUAUUACUAACAAUCGAUAUCAAUGAGACUAUUUAGAUAGUGAUUCAUUAAUCUGAGUCAAUAUUCAAUACAAGAUUCAUGUAUAAAAUAGAUAAAUAUUUACACACAAGAGAUCCAUCUCGAGUAGGUUCAGUUUUGUAUUGAAUCAAGAUUCGAUUUGCAUGCUCACUAAAUAUAAUGUACCAUUCAUAAAACUUCCCAUAUUCACUAAACAUUAAUCGUCACAUAUCCCUUUUUUAAUUAAGAUUUAUUGCAUUGAAAACAAAUUAGCAAAAAUAAACAAGAGAAAAUUGUUCAUCAUAUGAUUGUAUGAGGAAAACAAUCUGUAACUUUUAAGUAGUUACAAGAAAACUACUUCUUCUAUAAUAUAUCUCCUACUGUAUGAUGCAUAAGACUCUAGUUAUAGGAAAAUGUUUUUCUUAUAUAAACAGAGAUUGCAGGAUAACUCAGAAAAUUGUACAACAAUCAUUUAUUACAAAUCUGCUUCAGCUAAUUUUUGAAAUAAACUUAAUAAUCACAAACUAAAAUCCCAAAGCUAACAAUAUCAUACAGAGAAGAAGAACCGAGAUUCAAAAUGGUUAAAGCUUAGAAUUGCAAACCUGGUGAUUCCAGUGGCAACAAUCACAUAGAAAACUCAAAUGUCCUUGCUGAAUCAAACAAUUCAAUGUUAUUUACUUAAAAAACAUAAAAGAGGAUAUUUAGGGAUUGACAGAAAAACAUAGGAAUUGUCAAAGAUGAGAAUUAAGGAGUGAGAGAUUACGAGUAUAAUAGUAACAGAUUGCAAAUAUUAGAUUUUUUGAACCCAAAUUUAUAAAUCCAAAUCAAAUAAAAAUGCGAGAUAAAGGGCAUCCUCACCUUUGUAGAGAGACAGAAAUAUAAUACAGAACGAAGAUGGAGUCAUGAUAAAAUAUAAAAUAUGAAGGACAUCUCAGAAAGUGGCUGGAAUGACAGAGGCCAAAGUGUGGAGGCGCUCAAGGAAAAGGAAGAGGAACACGACGACUAGGGUUCUAU
Molecule: long non-coding RNA, 1329 nt
Filed under: Lathyrus oleraceus (garden pea)
Lineage: Eukaryota; Viridiplantae; Streptophyta; Magnoliopsida; Fabales; Fabaceae
Description: Pisum sativum (pea) long non-coding RNA (PSAT_LNC003229)
Source: RNAcentral